AGUGAACGCUGGCGGCGUGCCUAAUACAUGCCAGUCGAACGGUAACAGGAAGUAGUUUGCUACUUUGCUGAUUAGUGGCGCACGGGUGAGUAAUGCAUAGGUCAUGUGUCCCAUAGUCUGGGAUAGCCACUGGAAACGGUGAUUAAUACUGGAUACUCCCGAGAGGGGAAAGUUUUUCGCUAUGGGAUCAGCUUAUGUCCUAUCAGCUUGUUGGUGAGGUAAUGGCUCACCAAGGCUAUGACGGGUAUCCGGCCUGAGAGGGUGAACGGACACACUGGAACUGAGACACGGUCCAGACUCCUACGGGAGGCAGCAGUAGGGAAUAUUGCUCAAUGGGGGAAACCCUGAAGCAGCAACGCCGGGUGGAGGAUGAAGGUCGUCGGAUUGUAAACUCCUUUUCUAAGAGAAGAUUAUGACGGUAUCUUAGGAAUAAGCACCGGCUAACUCCGUG
This 451-nucleotide ribosomal RNA is filed under the name uncultured bacterium. RNAcentral's name for it is "partial 16S ribosomal RNA". It matches the Rfam family "Bacterial small subunit ribosomal RNA", at positions 29 to 507 of the family's 1533-position model. The record is from RNAcentral.